ACCUGGGGAAGAGCACAUGUUGGGAGCAGGCCUGGGGAGGCAGAGGCAGCGCAGAUCUCCAUGGGGAGCCACGUCUCCUUGGAAACAUGACUGACUUGCUCGAAAAUUUCCCUUGGCUCCCUGUGGCCCUCAGAGCAAAGACUGUGUUCUUAACCUGGUGGCAGUUCCCUGAGGUCCAUCUCCUGCCCCCCGCACAUCUCAUCUCCAGCCUCUCCUUCACUCCAAGCCCCACACUCCAGUGUCCUAAACACACCCAGGGCCUCUGGCCUUGCAUGGCUACCUUCUCUGCUGGGGAGAAAACUCCCAGGUGUCCCCCAGGGCCCUCUGGAGAACAAUACAGGGGCUGGCAUCGCCUCCUCCUGGAAGGCUUCUCCAUUCUCCGGAGGGGCCGGAUGCCUCCUCUGGUGCCCCCAGAACCUUGUAGGACUCCAGAAUAGCCCAAAUCACUCUCUCACCCCACAAUUGUCACCGCCACAGCCUGGACACCUUCACAAGCAGAGGAUUUCUGCGGGGGUGCCCACAACCCACCCAGGAGCCCGGAGAGAUAGCCAGACUGCAAACCCCAUAGACCCUGCCAGGCGGAACCUGGGCCGGGGACAGCGCUGCACCCCGAUCCACGCGCCUGAGACUGGAAGGCCAGCAACGGACAGUCACCUUGACUAUGGCCAGCAAAGUCUGUGGAGCCUUGACCACUGAGGUUCACAGAGCCCCUCCCACAACAAAGCCUCCCACUGUUUGCUUUCUCAGCCUUCCUUGUGGAUCUGUCUCUGGCCAGUGGGAGCCAAGAUGCCACCUCUGGAGAGUUUAAAAGGAGGAAAAUUCCUGAUAAAAAAGGGCACCUACAUAAGUGACCACCACCCUAUUCAGGCCAGUCUUUGAAGGCUGUGGAAGGAGAACACUGUAUCUGGAGCUCUGAUAGCCAACUAGGGCCAUGAGGGGAGUCACAGAGACACCUGUCCACGAGGCUGCUGAGCCAGCCCCAGCAAAGCCAUCCCGUGUCUUGUGGGGUGAAUGGGAUAUUUCACCAACGUUUACAUAACAUAAUGAGAGUCAACACUGCCUUCCGCCAGUGUUUGCAGCCCUCUGCCUCUUGGGCACACAGCAGGAUCGCAUGGCUGGGUGUAGCCAUGCAGCUGGCUCUGACCAGGGGACUGCGAGGUACCCCUUCCAGGAUGGACUGUUUAACUGCCAGGGAAGAGCUCUUGCCCCCUGCCACAAGGAAUGUAGCUGCUCUAGCAGCAUGCUUCCCUGACCAAUCACGACGAACAGAGCUCCUCAGUCAACCUGCAACACAAGGAGCGAAACCAGUCCCAAAAAACUGGAGCUCCAGAAGCCUUUUUGGACCACAAGGCAGCUGUGAGGAUGGCAGAGCAAUGCUGGAAGGAAGCCAGGUUGGUGGUGACACAUGGCCUUUUCAACCGCAGAGGCAGGCGUUUCUAUGCAGGUGAAGCCGCUGUCACUUCUGUUUCUAUCCCACACAGCCGAAAACAACUCCUCGCUGAUGCAGAGUGUCUGGGAAAUGUCUUGCUUUUCCCAAUGAGCAGAAGAGAUGUGACUGGCACCCUGCUCGCCCCCCUCUUCCUGCCUUAAAAGGAGGUGCAGCUGAACAAGUCAUCUAAAGGUGACCAGGGCAUGCACAGGAGGGUCUCAGUGAUCCAGGCCCUGACAUCACCGGCCAAGGCCAGCAGCUCCAUCUCUCUGAGUGUCUCGUGAGAGGAGAGGAAAAAAUUUGUCUCCUGAACUUGUCACCAGCCUGAUUUUGUGUUUCUUGGAGCCUUGUGUUCCUUGUAUCCUGCGUGCAUACGUGCCUUUUCCACUGAAGCCUGCCUCAGUGGGUAUCUGUUAAUCAAGGAUGAGAGGACGGAGGAGGACAGCCACAUUUUCAAGAAAGGCACUCAGCUGGCCUGUGAGGCUGAUGAAAAAUGCAAAAUGCUGGUUGCUUCUUCCUCAACCCUGGGAAGCCAGGUGUUCCUCAGCAGAAUUCUGGAAUUUCCAUUUGUUACCCACUCCCAGGUUAUUCAAAGCCCCACUGCCCCAGGUGAGGCUUCCUUCUCUCUCCCUGACCCAUCAUUCUAACCUCCCUGACCUCCCAGCCUCCAUCCUCCCUCCAUUUGGCCUUCUGCCCAUCCCCCGCAUGGGUUUCCCAACGGAGCUUUCCACAUCCACACCCUUCUCCUCCCAUAGUUCCCCCGGGGAACUCCAGAACACAGUCCAAGCUUCUCAGCUGUGCAUUUCAAGCCCAACCACCAUCCCAGCAAACCCCCUCUACAGAGACAUCCCAUCUCCUCCUAUAUCCUGAAAUGCUCUUCCUCCUGCUGUCCCUGAAAUACCUUCUUGCCCCCUUCUCAUCAUUGAGUUUCAGCGCUAAUACCUGCUCCCUCCAGAAAGGGGCAUGCCUUUGAAACCACAGAGUCCAGGUUCAAACCCCAGUUCCAACACUUCCUAGCUUUCUGACCUUACAAAAGGGGCUUCCAAUCAUUGUGCCUCAGUUUCCCAAAAUAGAAUGAGUGUGAAGACUGAGGCAGGGUCUGGGGUAAACUCAUCUCCAGGUCCCAGCACAGGGCCUGGUGAUGAAAAGUCUGUAACAAUCUCUAAUAAAAGCCUCAGGAGUCUCAUAACGAAAA
Molecule: long non-coding RNA, 2624 nt
Organism: Mustela lutreola (European mink)
Lineage: Eukaryota; Metazoa; Chordata; Mammalia; Carnivora; Mustelidae
Exons: 2
Source: RefSeq, a predicted model, not a curated record